UAGGGUUAAAGUUUAAUUAAACAUUUAAUUUGCAAUUAAAAAUAACAUUUUUAUGUUAACCUG
RNAcentral lists this transfer RNA (63 nucleotides) under Arytainilla spartiophila (broom psyllid). RNAcentral's name for it is "tRNA-Ala". Lineage: Eukaryota; Metazoa; Arthropoda; Insecta; Hemiptera; Psyllidae. The record is from RNAcentral.